RNAcentral lists this ribosomal RNA (253 nucleotides) under uncultured archaeon. Its description in RNAcentral is "partial 16S ribosomal RNA". It matches the Rfam family "Archaeal small subunit ribosomal RNA", at positions 474 to 727 of the family's 1478-position model. The record is from RNAcentral.
AACCAGCACCUCAAGUGGUCAGGAGGAUUAUUGGGCCUAAAGCAUCCGUAGCCGGCUCUGUAAGUUUUCGGUUAAAUCCAUGUGCUCAACGCAUGGGCUGCCGAAAAUACUGCAUAGCUAGGGAGUGGGAGAGGUAGACGGUACUCAGUAGGAAGGGGUAAAAUCCUUUGAUCUAUUGAUGACCACCUGUGGCGAAGGCGGCCACCUGGACUGAUACUGACACUGAGGUGCGAAAGCGUGGGGAGCAAACAGG